GACGAACGCUGGCGGCGUGCUUAACACAUGCCAGUCGAACGGAAAGGCCCUGCUUUUGUGGGGUGCUCGAGUGGCGAACGGGUGAGUAACACGUGAGUAACCUGCCCUUGACUUUGGGAUAACUUCAGGAAACUGUGGCUAAUACCGGAUAGGAGCUCCUGCUGCAUGGUGGGGGUUGGAAAGUUUCGGCGGUUGGGGAUGGACUCGCGGCUUAUCAGCUUGUUGGUGGGGUAGUGGCUUACCAAGGCUUUGACGGGUAGCCGGCCUGAGAGGGUGACCGGCCACAUUGGGACUGAGAUACGGCCCAGACUCCUACGGGAGGCAGCAGUGGGGAAUAUUGCACAAUGGGCGGAAGCCUGAUGCAGCAACGCCGCGUGCGGGAUGACGGCCUUCGGGUUGUAAACCGCUUUCGCCUGUGACGAAGCGUGAGUGACGGUAAUGGGUAAAGAAGCACCGGCUAACUACGUG
RNAcentral lists this ribosomal RNA (468 nucleotides) under uncultured bacterium. RNAcentral's name for it is "partial 16S ribosomal RNA". It matches the Rfam family "Bacterial small subunit ribosomal RNA", at positions 28 to 507 of the family's 1533-position model. The record is from RNAcentral.